UUGCCAGCAGCCGCGGUAAUACGGAGGGUGCAAGCGUUAAUCGGAAUUACUGGGCGUACAGGGCGCGUAGGCGGUUUGGUAAGCGAGUUGUGAAAGCCCCGGGCUCAACCUGGGAAUGGCAAUUCGAACUGCCAGGCUAGAAUGCAGCAGAGGGCAGUGGAAUUCCAGGUGUAGCGGUGAAAUGCGUAGAUAUCUGGAGGAACGCCAGUGGCGAAGGCGACUGACUGGGCUGACAUUGACGAUGAGGUGCGCAAGCGUGGGUAGCAAACAGGAUUAGAAAC
RNAcentral lists this ribosomal RNA (281 nucleotides) under uncultured prokaryote. Its description in RNAcentral is "partial 16S ribosomal RNA". It matches the Rfam family "Bacterial small subunit ribosomal RNA", at positions 505 to 785 of the family's 1533-position model. The record is from RNAcentral.